Molecule: transfer RNA, 363 nt
Filed under: uncultured Microcystis sp.
Lineage: Bacteria; Bacillati; Cyanobacteriota; Cyanophyceae; Chroococcales; Microcystaceae
Description: partial 16S-23S ribosomal RNA intergenic spacer
Rfam family: tRNA (bases 134-207)
Source: RNAcentral
AAAGGGAGACCUAAUUCGGGUAUAAGACGAAAAAAUAGUAGUCGAAACCAAGAAUCAAUCCCAAAAGGUCGGAACGAGGUAUGUGGCCUUCAAACUAGGUUCUGGGUUCAUAAAAGACCUGAAUCAGGAACAAGGGCUAUUAGCUCAGGUGGUUAGAGCGCACCCCUGAUAAGGGUGAGGUCCCUGGUUCGAGUCCAGGAUGGCCCACCUGCACAGGUGGCGAAAACAAAGAAAAGAAGCGAGGAAUCAGCACCUUAUCUUACUUAUAUAGUAAGAGAGAAUGCUGGCUCUGAGUACAGAGUCCAGAGGAACCUUGAAAACUGCAUAGAGCUAGGUGAAAAAGCCAAAAAAGAAGACCGCAAG